This 519-nucleotide ribosomal RNA is filed under the name uncultured eukaryote. Its description in RNAcentral is "SSU rRNA". It matches the Rfam family "Eukaryotic small subunit ribosomal RNA", at positions 1161 to 1698 of the family's 1831-position model. The record is from RNAcentral.
AGGGCACCACCAGGAGUGGAGCCUGCGGCUUAAUUUGACUCAACACGGGAAAACUCACCCGGCCCGGACACUGGAAGGAUUGACAGAUUGAGAGCUCUUUCUUGAUUCAGUGGGUGGUGGUGCAUGGCCGUUCUUAGUUGGUGGAGUGACUUGUCUGGUUAAUUCCGAUAACGAACGAGACUCUAGCCUAUUAAAUAGAUCGUUGGCUUACAAACGCCGGCGAGACUUCUUAGAGGGACAGGCGGCGAUUCAGCCGCACGAAACAGAGCAAUAACAGGUCUGUGAUGCCCUUAGAUGUCCGGGGCCGCACGCGCGCUACACUGAAGUGAUCAGCGUGCAUUUUGAAACCUACUCUGUCAAGAGUGGGGAACCCAAUGAACCUUCUUCGUGAUUGGGAUAGGGGAUUGUAAUUAUUCCCCUUGAACGAGGAAUUCCCAGUAAGCGCGAAUCAUAAGUUUGCGCUGAUUACGUCCCUGCCCUUUGUACACACCGCCCGUCGCUACUACCGAUUGAAUGUUU